GAUGAAGAACGUAGCGAAAUGCGAUAAGUAAUGUGAAUUGCAGAAUUCAGUGAAUCAUCGAAUCUUUGAACGCACAUUGCGCCCGCCAGUAUUCUGGCGGGCAUGCCUGUCUGAGCGUCAUUUCAACCCUCAUGCCCCUAGGGCGUGGUGUUGGGGAUCGGCCAAAGCCCGCGAGGGACGGCCGGCCCCUAAAUCUAGUGGCGGACCCGUCGUGGCCUCCUCUGCGAAGUAGUGAUAUUCCGCAUCGGAGAGCGACGAGCCCCUGUCGUUAAACCCCCAACUUUCCAAGGUUGACCUCAGAUCAGGUAGGAAUACCCGCUGAACUUAAGCAUAUCAAUAAGCGGAGGA
Molecule: unclassified non-coding RNA, 348 nt
Filed under: soil metagenome
Description: partial contains 5.8S ribosomal RNA, internal transcribed spacer 2, and large subunit ribosomal RNA
Rfam family: 5.8S ribosomal RNA (bases 1-120)
Source: RNAcentral